ACAAGUAAUCUUUUAAUUAAGUGUCAGCCAUCCCACUCAGACAUCUCCUCAGACAUCCUGGCAUUCGGCAGUCCCCGAAUCCCAGAAUUAUGAGAGCAACAGGAGACGAGCGGCAAAAACGCACAAAUCUAAUUUGAUUAAUGGUCAAAUGCUAAGCUUAAUUAGUGGAAACAGUGGCACACAAAAAAAACAGAGCCAAGCCAACUGGAAUCGGCAUUAAUGGUUGCCACAAAUACGGGCAAAAUAAGAAAUUAAAUAAAUAACCACAGAACAACAACUAAUUGCACCGCAAACGACAAUGGCAAAACGAGCAAUGAAAAGGAAAAGCGGAAGGGAAAUGGAAAAGUGCAAAAAACACAAGCUGAAAAUAUUUCGCAACUAAUAAAAACAUUGCGGCGCACUAAAUCAACUGGAAAACUGUAAAACACAUUGGAACAAAGCCCACAGCCUGAAACCCACAGCUCCAUCUGGAGGUGCCUGGCCCAUUCUAAUCCCAUUUCAGCCCCUAGUGUAUAAUUAUUCUAUCUGUCGCAUAUGCAUGAGAUCAGCUAUAAGGCCUGGAACACGCCCCCGAUGUAUCUAUCUGGCUUUAUGUAGCUUCAUUAGCAACUUUGUGCGUAUUCAUUAGGAAGCAGCAACAGGGGGCACAGAGCCCCCAAAAAUCCCCCUCGUUGCCACACAGCUGCGACUGGUUGAUAAAAGAUUUAUGCGAGCACUGAUAACCCGACGAAACGCCCACAUCCAUAGACACACUGCCUGGAUUCUGGAUAAAUAAACCAAAAAAUAAAAAAAAAAGUGAAAAUAAAAAUAAAAUAAAG
Drosophila simulans is the source of this 818-nucleotide long non-coding RNA. RefSeq lists it as uncharacterized. Lineage: Eukaryota; Metazoa; Arthropoda; Insecta; Diptera; Drosophilidae. The record is from RefSeq and is a predicted model, not a curated record. The transcript has 3 exons.